This is a long non-coding RNA of Sander lucioperca (pikeperch), 255 nucleotides long. RefSeq lists it as uncharacterized. Lineage: Eukaryota; Metazoa; Chordata; Actinopteri; Perciformes; Percidae. The transcript has 4 exons. The record is from RefSeq and is a predicted model, not a curated record.
CCAACAUGUACGUAAAAUAAAUAUAACAUGGAAUAAAAUAAGUAGUGCAAAAAAAAGGGGGGUAAGGUGUACAGUUCUGAGACGCUAUAUACGUAUAUAAAAAAAAUAAUAAAUGGUUUUAUAUACAGUGUGAUAUGCAGUGUGGGUUAUUGCACAUUAUUUGAAUAUUGCCCAAUAGUGGUGAUCAUAUUCAAUGAGUAAUAGAUAUUGGACAAUGAGAGUAAUGGUAUUGCACAUUAUGGGCAGAGGAAAAAU